CACCACACCCAGCUGAUUUUUGUGUUUUUUGUAGAGACGAGGUUUCACCAUGUUUCCCAGACUGUUCUCAAACUCCUGAGCUCAAAGCAGUCCACCCACCUUGGCCUCCCAAAGUGCUGGGAUUACAGGUGUGAGCCAUCUUGCUCAUUCUAGUUUAAACUUUUGAGUGGUUUGUGUCUCCUGAUUGGACUCCUACAAAUACAGAAUUGAUGCUAGGAAGGGUACCAGGAGACAGACGCACACAGAUGGGAUUUGGGAAUAGGUUUGGUUAUCCAAGGAGCAGUGCUGAGCUCCUUGCUAAUGGGAUAUGGGAUGCUGGUGAUUUCCAGGAAGUGACCUCACAAUGACUCAAGCUACCACAUACUGUUGAUUGUGAAAUGCCAGUUGAAGCAUAGGUCCUGCGAGCUUAGGGGUGCUACAAGUUGACCACUGCAGCAGUAAAGAUGACUCUGAAGAAUGGCAUGGGAUGGAUCCUUUCGAAUGCACUUGAGCAGCGGUCUCCAACCACAGGGCCACAGAGCUGGAGCUGGAUCUACCAUGAAGGACUUCUGAAUCCAGGAAGAGAGACUGACUGGGCAACAUGUUAUUCAGGAGAUGGGGUCUCACCCUGUCACCCAGGCUGGAGUACAGUAGUGCUAUCACAUCUCACUGCAGCCUUGAACUCCUGGGCUAAGGGUACUCCUACCUGAGCCUCCUGAGUAGCUAGGACUGUAGGGUCUCCCUCUGUUGUCCAAGGGUGGAGGGUAGUAGUGCUAUCGCAGCUGACUGCAGCCUCAACCUUCCAGGCUGAAGCGAUCCUCCCACCUCAACCUCCCACGUGGCUGAGACUACAGGUGCUUGCCACUAUGCCCAACUAAUAUUUGGAAUUUUCGUAUACAUGGAUUCCAGAGGGGUGACAGCGAAACGUGGGACCAUCCAGUUUCAGGAAAACAAGCUUAACACGCCCACUGAUUCUACAUUAUGCUCCUACCUCCCGGCAACCUCGCCAGGCCCAGAACUCUCUCCAGUCAGCCUCUACAGACCAAGCUCAUGACUCACAAUGGCCUAUUUAGGCCCAUACCCUACCUCACGGCAGUCUCCGCAGAUGAGCCUACUGCCUCACAACAGCCUCCACAGGCACAGCUCCAUCAUUACAAUGGCCUCUUUAGAUCCAGCUCCUGCCUCCCAGCCUUCUCUCCAGGCCCUGAACUUUCUCCAUAAGUUGAGGUAGCUGGGACUGUAGGUAUGCAUGACGAUACUUGGCUAAUUUUUAAAUUGUUUUGUAGACAUGGGGUCUCACUUUGUUGGCCAGGCUGGUGUCAAACUAAUGGCCUCAAGUGACCCUUCCACCCCUGCCUCCCAUCCUAGAGGUAUGUGCCACCACAAGGAGCACUUGUUCAAUUUUCUAAAGAAAAAAUUUCUAAAGUAAGGCUGUGGGAUGAUGGCAGGAAGAUAAAAGAAAAACAGAAGAAUAAGUUAAAAUGACUUAUUCACACAUAUUCUUUUGACAGCAAGAAGAACUUUUAGUAUAUACAUUCCUUACAAACAAACAAACGGCAGAUAAACAAUGUUGUAUAGGAACUUCAACACACACUGUACAAUAUUCCCACUUUGCUGACAUAAGUUAUGGAAAUUUCGU
Long non-coding RNA from Gorilla gorilla gorilla (western lowland gorilla), 1618 nucleotides. RefSeq lists it as uncharacterized. The transcript is spliced from 6 exons. The record is from RefSeq and is a predicted model, not a curated record. Lineage: Eukaryota; Metazoa; Chordata; Mammalia; Primates; Hominidae.